GGAGAGGUGCCGGAAUUGGUGAACGGGGCGUCCUGCUAAGACGUUGCGACGAAAGUCGCGUGCGGGUUCGAGUCCCGCCCUCUCCGCCA
This 89-nucleotide transfer RNA is filed under the name Candidatus Cloacimonadota bacterium. RNAcentral's name for it is "tRNA-Ser". It matches the Rfam family "tRNA". From Rfam's summary of the family: Transfer RNA (tRNA) molecules are approximately 80 nucleotides in length. Their secondary structure includes four short double-helical elements and three loops (D, anti-codon, and T loops). Lineage: Bacteria; Pseudomonadati; Candidatus Cloacimonadota. The record is from RNAcentral.